AUGUGCCUUUUUGUUCAGUUGGACAGCCUGCUCCCAAGGUUUACGAGCCGACUAAUUUCAUCUGGAUAUAUACUAGCUAUUUGCUGGGAGGUGCAGGAGAGGCACAACCCCUGCCACACCGAAGAGAAAGACGAUGGCUUCCAUGAAGAAAUUCGUCGAAGUGACUCCAAUGACCCACAGGACUCCACCAGCAACGACAUUAUCAAAGGGUCAAGGAGCAGCAAUUUGAUAUGCAUCCGUGACAAUGAAGUUUUCUCCACGGCGCGGAAUCGAUGCUGGCGACCCCGCCGUUUCCACACCACCCCGAGGAGAAGCACAACAGGAAGGGAUAUAGAGCGACAAAUCCUAUUUUACUGUCCCCGUUUCCCGGUUUCCACAUCGCGGCGACUCGAUCCGCUGCUCUCGGGCACGGCACUCUUGAAUGAGUCAGAUUUAUCGAGGGACAAGACUGGCAAGCGCUCCUACGUGUCGAUCUUCGACCGAGAGCGCUGGUAG
This 495-nucleotide ribosomal RNA is filed under the name Triticum aestivum (bread wheat). RNAcentral describes it as "partial small subunit ribosomal RNA". The record is from RNAcentral. Lineage: Eukaryota; Viridiplantae; Streptophyta; Magnoliopsida; Poales; Poaceae.